This 253-nucleotide ribosomal RNA is filed under the name uncultured bacterium. RNAcentral describes it as "partial 16S ribosomal RNA". It matches the Rfam family "Bacterial small subunit ribosomal RNA", at positions 524 to 776 of the family's 1533-position model. The record is from RNAcentral.
UACGGGGGGUGCAAGCGUUAUUCGGAUUCAUUGGGCGUAAAGAGCGCGUAGGCGGUCUCUUAAGUCAGAUGUGAAAGCCCGGGGCUCAACCCCGGAAGUGCAUUUGAAACUAAGGGACUUGAGUAUGGGAGAGGGAAGUGGAAUUCCUGGUGUAGAGGUGAAAUUCGUAGAUAUCAGGAGGAACACCGGUGGCGAAGGCGACUUCCUGGACCAAUACUGACGCUGAGGCGCGAAGGCGUGGGGAGCAAACAGG